Molecule: ribosomal RNA, 459 nt
Filed under: uncultured bacterium
Lineage: Bacteria
Description: partial 16S ribosomal RNA
Rfam family: Bacterial small subunit ribosomal RNA
Source: RNAcentral
CCUACGGGUGGCAGCAGUGAGGAAUAUUGGUCAAUGGGCGCUAGCCUGAACCAGCCAAGUAGCGUGAAGGAUGACUGCCCUAUGGGUUGUAAACUUCUUUUAUAUGGGAAUAAAGUGCAGUAUGUAUACUGCUUUGCAUGUACCUUAUGAAUAAGGAUCGGCUAACUCCGUGCCAGCAGCCGCGGUAAUACGGAGGAUCCGAGCGUUAUCCGGAUUUAUUGGGUUUAAAGGGAGCGUAGGCGGGUUGUUAAGUCAGCGGUAAAAUCGCGGGGCUCAACCCCGCUCCGCCGUUGAAACUGUGUCCCUUGAGUGCGCGAAGGGUAGGCGGAAGGCGUGGUGUAGCGGUGAAAUGCAUAGAUAUCACGCAGAACUCCGAUCGCGAAGGCAGCCUACCGGCGCGCAACUGACGCUCAUGCACGAAAGCGUGGGUAUCGAACAGGAUUAGAUACCCUUGUAGUC